RNAcentral lists this ribosomal RNA (389 nucleotides) under uncultured fungus. Its description in RNAcentral is "partial 18S ribosomal RNA". The stretch from base 9 to 133 matches the Rfam family "5.8S ribosomal RNA", at positions 30 to 154 of the family's 154-position model. Lineage: Eukaryota; Fungi. The record is from RNAcentral.
CACGGGGGGCAUCGAUGAAGAACGCAGCGAAUUGCGAUAAGUAAUGUGAAUUGCAGAAUUCAGUGAAUCAUCGAAUCUUUGAACGCAUCUUGCGCUCUUUGGUAUUCCGAAGAGCAUGCCUGUUUGAGUGUCAUGAAACUCUCACCUGCAGCACUCUUUUAUUAGAGGGCUGGAGCGUGGACGUGAGUGCUGCUGGUGCCCUCGCUGCAUCGGCUCACUUGAAAUUUAUUAGCUGAAUCCUCUAGUGUUGGUUCUACUCGACGUGAUAAGAUCUCCGUCGAGGACAGUGCUCCUUGUGGGCGUUGGCCACUGCUAGCUGUUGAUACGCUCCUAAUUAGCGCAGACUUCGAGUGCUGGCAACUUUUGACAACUGGCCUCAAAUCAGGUAG